This 2901-nucleotide long non-coding RNA is filed under the name Nicotiana tabacum (common tobacco). Its description in RNAcentral is "long non-coding RNA (NTAB_LNC014943)". Lineage: Eukaryota; Viridiplantae; Streptophyta; Magnoliopsida; Solanales; Solanaceae. The record is from RNAcentral.
AGGGCUUUUAUGGUGACUUUAAGUGUGCCGCUAAACCUAUCACUCCUAAUUGUCCUAUUUUGUACAAAAACGAAGUGAACGAAAAUAAACCCUAAAGUAACAAAUCUCCUCCUCGUAAAAUCUCUAAUUUGCUCCAUCUUCUCAACCCCAAAUCAGUCUAAACUUGCUCCUAACUGAAGAGGGUCACACACUAUCGAUGGUGAUCACGCUCUUUUUGGUCUCAUUAUUCGUCAAAUGGAGCGCUAACUUCCUUCAUCGUUUCUUCCUCUCUAGAUUUUGUGCUCUCUGCUCUGUUGAGGUGAAAAAUCUAAUCCUAUUUUUGUAUUGUGAUGCUUUACAGACUAUGCUCAUAUUCAGGAGAAAAGAUUACAUCUAAUGAGGAUUAGUGCAUUUUUGCGGCAUGAGAUUUAGGGUAAGCACGAUUUUUACCGAUUUUUGGUUAUUUAUUGUUGCAAAAGUGUAAAAUUAAGGUUUCGUCAUGAUAUGGGAUCUUCUUUUUAAUACAAUAUUUGCGCUCCCAAGCUUUAAAAUUAGUGGGUUUGAUAAUAUUUUGGAAAUUUUAGGGCUUUUGUACUUGAAUAACUCGGUACUCUGAAGCGUUAAAUUUUAGGUAAUUUUUGAAGCUUUUGGAAUGAUUCAAUGCUCAUUUCUCUUAGUUAUUGGUUGCUAAUAGCAUAUAUUUUAGGUCUCUGAGUGAGAACUUGCGUUAAGUUGCUUCGUUACUUUUUCGACAAAUGUUUUAAGAUAGAAAAGCAAAAUAGACUUAGAGGUUGGUCCACCUUGUAAUUGUGUAAAUGAAAAGAGAAUCUGGGAUAUUACAUGUAUUUGGUUAGUUGGUUUUCUAAGUAUUUUAGAUGUGCAUCUCAUCAGAUUGGUUGCUAAGUAAUUAAUUGGCCAAAUUGGAACCAACUGCUCUUUGUCAUCACCAAUUUCUGUUUAUUUGUUUAUUAAAUGGAUGCCACAAAAAGGUUAUUCUUACAAUCCUAAUGUUGCAAACAGGUUAUUCUUGGAGACAUUUUUACUUAUUGGUGAACUGCAUCAAAAAAUCUGAUAGAAUAUUCUUCUCAUGUUUAAUAUUACAAUAGCCUCCUCUUAAAAACCACCUCAUAAACUUUAUUCAAGUUUUUAUUCUUUUUAAUCACCUUGUAUUAGGUUUUAUCAUCGAAGUGUUGUUCUUUAAGGGUGUAGAAGUUGAAAAACUAGUUAUUGAAAGUUGUAUUGGUAUGUGAUUAAGUCGAAAGUAUUUUAUACUUGGCAAAGUAAAUCAUUUUUUGCUAUCUUUAAACCACAUUUCUUUCCUCGUAAUUUGUUUAUUUUUUUCCACGGAAAUUAUUUAUCUUAAGUUAGUGAGCAAAUAUUUCCAAAAGAGAUUGAUAUUUCAUCUUAUUAGAAACUAAUUAAGGUACAAUAACUUUGGUAGGAUGCAUUGUGGUUAAUGAGUUAUGAUAUUGAGAGCUAAGUGUCUAUUGUCUAGUUUGUUCUUAAAUAUUAGUCUUAAGCUCGUAUUAGAAUAGUGGUAGUGUGUUCUAGUUUUGUGAUAGAGAUAUUAACUAAGGAAAAGUAAGUUCUGUUUGACUUUAUCCAUUUGGUGUGGGUAAUUUGUGAUUUGAUUUGAUGAUUUUGUAGCUGCAUUUCCUCUGUUAUGGUAGAGAACCAGCUCUUUUGGUCUUACUUGUUUGUUUAGUAAUUCCAUUGUGUCAUCCGAUGAUGGAAAUUAAAAUUUAAAGAAUGGUUCAAGUUGUAAACAAAUGUUGAAGGCUACUGGAAACUAGUGAAUUGACCUAUAUAUGUUGGUCGGUUAAUAUAUAGAAUGAUCUAUAAAAGCUUUCUUGGAGAAAAAAGAAGAAAUAAGAACAUACCUGAAAAGAAAGAAAGGAAAAACUUUUUGGUAAUACACUUGGUAACUCUUGGCAUUAGUAGUGGUUGCUUGAAAUAUCUAGAAUUUAUAACAAGUGUUCAAAUAAAAAGUACUCUAAUUGAAACCACUUCACAGAACCUGCAUUUUAUUCCGUGCUAUUGGAUAAUCUAUAAGACUUUAUCUUUUGUUGUUAUUUUAGUUCAGUUAUUUAUAUUACAAAUAGUGGACAACUGUAGAGUAUAUUAAAUUAUCACACUAUUUGUUAUUGUUGUCAUAUAUCUGUAAUGAGUAAGUAGUUUGUUCAGCUAAAUCUUGCUUCUGCAAUUUAUAUUUUUUUCCCACCAUUCAGUGAUAUUCAAUAGACUUAAAGAUGUUUAAGUCGCAUGAGGUUGACAUUAUUGUGCACAGAAAAAGUGAUAGAAUUGAUAUUGCACUAUGAACACUUCAUCUCAUAGGACAUAAUUUUUCCUUAUAGGUCUUCUCUACAUACUUUAUCUCUGGAAUUUAGUUUAUGAGUUUCUUAAAGUGCACAUCUUAUUACAACCAAAGUAAUAUCAGAUUAAAGCAUGAAUGCAGUGAAAGGGAGUAACUUUAGUCUUCAUUUUGAUCGUGACUUUUAAAAAAUAUAUUAAUAGGAUUACAUAAUUCCAUUUUUAUGGUAUCAAAAUGUGUUGUCUAACAAAUCUUCCGAAAUUUCUUUUAUAAGUGGUAACAGAACUGUCCAAAGUGUGCACAAACGAUAAUGCCAUGCCAUCUUAUUGAACAUCAAAAAGGAGUUGCACGUGCGGAUACGCUAAUAUUAUUUCCUAGAGGUUUUGUUCAGGAUUUUUCUCGCACCUUUGACUGUAUUCCAGAAUACGAGAGAAAGUCAUGGUCUUCAAGAGGAAAUGAUUCUAGCCAAGGAGGAGCUCCAAGAUAGUUUAUUUUUAUAUUGUAACUUUUUUUGUGUUUCAUGUGUAUACACAAUUACUAUACAUUAUGAUUUUUGGUUAAUAGAAGUUCAUGUAUCAUUUUGUUUGAAAAUUAUCUUCAAUGGUGUCUCU